Molecule: ribosomal RNA, 484 nt
Filed under: uncultured bacterium
Lineage: Bacteria
Description: partial 16S ribosomal RNA
Rfam family: Bacterial small subunit ribosomal RNA
Source: RNAcentral
AUUGAACGCUGGCGGCAGGCCUAACACAUGCAAGUCGAGCGGAUGAAGGGAGCUUGCUCCUGGAUUCAGCGGCGGACGGGUGAGUAAUGCCUAGGAAUCUGCCUGGUAGUGGGGGAUAACGUCCGGAAACGGGCGCUAAUACCGCAUACGUCCUGAGGGAGAAAGUGGGGGAUCUUCGGACCUCACGCUAUCAGAUGAGCCUAGGUCGGAUUAGCUAGUUGGUGGGGUAAAGGCCUACCAAGGCGACGAUCCGUAACUGGUCUGAGAGGAUGAUCAGUCACACUGGAACUGAGACACGGUCCAGACUCCUACGGGGGGCAGCAGUGGGGAAUAUUGGACAAUGGGCGAAAGCCUGAUCCAGCCAUGCCGCGGGUGUGAAGAAGGUCUUCGGAUUGUAAAGCACUUUAAGUUGGGGGGAAGGGCAGUAAGUUUAUACCUUGCUGUUUUGACGGUACCAACAGAAUAAGCACCGGCUAACUUCGUG